GGUGGGCCCCCAGUCCAAUGGCAGGUGUCCUGAUAAAAGACACAUGGAGGAGAGACAAGGCACAAAGAAGAGGAGAAGGAAAUGUGACCACAGAGGCAGAGAACAGAGUGAUACACCUGCAAGUCCAGGAAACCACCAGAUGCCAGGAGAGGCGAGGAACAGAAUCUCCCCUAGAGCCUCUGCAGGGAGUGCAACCCUGCUUUCUCCUUAUUUCCAACUUCUGGCCUUCAGAACUGUAAGAACUGUUAUUUCAAGCUGCCCAUAUUGUGGUAAUCAUUUCCUCUGAUAUAAGUAAAUAUAAGUAAAAGACAGUACCGGCGUCCAAUCUGAUCCCAAGGUCUGGGAAGUCAUACGGUCCAACAGAUGCGCACAUCUUGCUAGAGUUACCAACAGUCUUCAGUCUACAGAGGUAAAAACAUUAAUUUACAUUUGGAGCACAGUCUUGUUCUGAUCCAGAACGAUGCUCUGCGAAGAGCCAGAAGUGCCACCGCCUUGGCAGGGGCCCUGAGCUCAGUCUGGCUAUUACAAGAUACUGGAUAUAGUUCCAUGUGCUAUACAGCACUUUUUGGGAAGACUUGUGAUAUAUAGAGGAAAAGAAAAGAGGUGCUUGGAAGGGCUUGCAGCCUCGUAACUUAAAGAGCUAAGCACUUUGCCUGCUGCUCUGACUUGGCACCAGGAGGGAUGGGGAGGGGCAACCUGGUUUCUUUCCACGUUUGCCCCAUGCCCGCCCUUCUGCGUAGAGGAAGUGACAAAUGGGGCCAAGAAACAAACAGAGGAUUGAACUUAAGAAGGAAAACACAGGAGGCCUCAUUCAACCCAGAAGUCUUAAAGAAGCAGCAGAAAAGGUCUAGAAGGCACAGGGAUGAAAAACAAACUUCUGGAAUGAGGCCCCCAGUGUUUACUGCAUCCAGCCUGCUACAUCCACUUUGUCCACACUAGCCAAAGUCAAAGCCGAAAUGAUCUGGAUGCUCUGUCCAUGCUGCUCUAGGUUCACCACCUCAUUUUCUCCAGACAACAUCUGAUGAGAUAUUGCAAGUUUCCUACCUUUAUUGGUGAGGAAACAGAGACUCAGAGAGGUUCAACAACUUGUUCAAUCUAUACCACAGUACAAGUGACAGCUUUGGGAUCUGAACUCAGGUAGGAAGAAAAUUGGCCCCAAUUUCUUUACAGAUGUGAUAUCUUUUCUACAAUGAUUUGAGGACCUUCUUUUGCAUCUACUACAUGUCUGGGAUGGACUCCUCAAAGCAGAAUUACUGCAUGUGGUUGGCAGAAUCAUGGUUCUCCCAAAUGGACCCCCACAUCCUAAAUCCCUGGAACCUAUGAAUAUGUUAUGUUACAUGGCAAGGGGGAGUCAGUUUGCACAUGGGAACUGAGGUUGCAAAUCAGAUGGCUUUGAGAUGGAGAGAUUAUCCUGGAUUAUCUAGGUAGACCCAAUGUAAUCACUAGGGUCUUACAAGUGAAAGAGGAGGACAGGACAAUAGUGUCAGAGUGGUGCGUUGUGAGAAGGAUUCAACCAGCCAUUGCUGGCUUUGAAGAUGGAAGGGGCCAUGAGCCAAGGAAUGUGGGUCAUCUUAAGAAGCUGGAAAAGGCAAGGGAAUAGAUCUUCCCCCAGAACCUCCAAAAGGAAUGCAGUUCUGCCAAAACCUUGAUUUCAGCCCAGUGAGACUCAUUUCAGACUUCUGGCCUCCCAACUGCAAGGGUAAAGCAGGAAAGGAUGUGCUAGUCAGAAGGCUUGUAGUCUGGUUCCAUUCAAAGUUUUCAUAUUGAAGGAGUGAAAGAAUCAGAGUGAUGAUAUAUGACUUUUC
Molecule: non-coding RNA, 1805 nt
Organism: Vicugna pacos (alpaca)
Lineage: Eukaryota; Metazoa; Chordata; Mammalia; Artiodactyla; Camelidae
Source: RefSeq, a predicted model, not a curated record